Molecule: ribosomal RNA, 427 nt
Filed under: uncultured bacterium
Lineage: Bacteria
Description: partial 16S ribosomal RNA
Rfam family: Bacterial small subunit ribosomal RNA
Source: RNAcentral
GUGGGGAAUAUUGGGCAAUGGGCGAAAGCCUGACCCAGCAACGCCGCGUGAGGGAAGAAGGCCUUCGGGUUGUGAACUUCUUUUGGAGGGGACGAAUAAAUUGACGGUACCCUCAGAAAAAGCCACGGCUAACUACGUGCCAGCAGCCGCGGUAAUACGUAGGUGGCGAGCGUUACUCGGAAUUACUAGGCGUAAAGCGUAUGUAGGCGGUUGUAUAAGUCUAUGGUGAAAUUUCCUGGCUCAACUGGGAAGGGACAUAGAUACUGUAUGGCUUGAGUGUUGGAGGGGGAGACGGAAUUCCUGGUGUAGCGGUGAAAUGCGUAGAUAUCAGGAGGAACACCGAUGGCGAAAGCAGUCUCCUGGCCAAAUACUGACGCUGAGGUACGAAAGCUAGGGUAGCAAACAGGAUUAGAUACCCUUGUAGUCC